Long non-coding RNA from Astatotilapia calliptera (eastern happy), 344 nucleotides. NCBI's taxonomy places the organism in Eukaryota, Metazoa, Chordata, Actinopteri, Cichliformes, Cichlidae. The record is from Ensembl.
UGUGGAUGCAUCUCAAGAAGAUGGGUCAUUAGGCAGACUUGUCAACGACAACCACAUCAGUCCAAGUGCUAAGAUGAAAAUAUUAAAUAUCAAUGGAAAGCCCCAUCUAUGCUUAUUUGCAAGCAGAGACAUAAGUCCAGGUGAAGAAAUAGACUAUAAUUAUGGUGACUCGGAUUGGCUCUGGAGAUGCAAGAGUUUCAAAAAUGAUGGCUUGGAUUUUCACGAAGGAGGCGCACUCAUAACUUAUCGAGUGACACCAUUGACCAGCCACCUGGUGGCAUUCAGUCUAUGUCAAAUUUUCUGAUCACUUUGGAUCACUUGGAACCUUGGUGCAGUAGUUACUG